UACGGAAGGCAGCAGUGGGGAAUAUUGCACAAUGGGCGCAAGCCUGAUGCAGCCAUGCCGCGUGUAUGAAGAAGGCCUUCGGGUUGUAAAGUACUUUCAGUCGUGAGGAAGGUGUUAAGGUUAAUAACCUUAGCAAUUGACGUUAGCGACAGAAGAAGCACCGGCUAACUCCGUGCCAGCAGCCGCGGUAAUACGGAGGGUGCGAGCGUUAAUCGGAAUUACUGGGCGUAAAGGGCACGCAGGCGGUUAAUUAAGUUGGAUGUGAAAUCCCCGGGCUUAACCUGGGAAUGGCAUUCAAGCUGGUUAGCUAGAGUCUUGUAGAGGGGGUAGAAUUCCAUGUGUAGCGGUGAAAUGCGUAGAGAUGUGGAGGAAUACCGGGUGGCGAAGGCGGCCCCUGGGACAAGACUGACGCUCAUGUGCGAAAGCGUGGGGAGCAAACAGGAUUAGAUACC
RNAcentral lists this ribosomal RNA (452 nucleotides) under uncultured bacterium. Its description in RNAcentral is "bacterial SSU rRNA". It matches the Rfam family "Bacterial small subunit ribosomal RNA", at positions 340 to 786 of the family's 1533-position model. The record is from RNAcentral.